AAGUAGACAACUUUCUGUCACUUUCCUGUCCUUCGGUAAUUUCUCCUUCUGAAUAAAUGAUCAUCAUAUCAAUAUGCUGUAUCUACCUCUUCAUCAUUUUUGUGUUUCUCUUACAUAUUCUGUACCUUGUUGCAGUUCUGAAUUUAGCUUUUGCUCUAAGUCUUCUUUGUUUCGUAAUUAUGCAUUCAUCUCUUCUAGUGAGCAACGCCACUUUGGUUGAGGUAAAUCCAUAUUGAACUAGCACGGUUUAUAUUGUAUUAGAUGUUCGACAUAGAACAAUCUUCCAUGAAUAGAAUCUUAAAUUUAACAUGCAGAACUCUAAGUUGCACAACUUUUCUUGAUGGAUGGUCUUUGUGUAUCUAUUACUUCAGGUUAGCGAGAAAAAAAUAGCUGUGUAGUUGAAGUUCGAUUUGGGAUGAAAAUGAACUUUGAGCAGGACAAACAUAUUGAUUCUCUCUUUUGAUUCUUAUAUCAAUCUCCGAAAAGUGUGUGCUUAUUAAAAAGAUGAUAAGAGAAGUCAGAGAAAAUUGGUAAUAUCACAUUGAAGCUUUCUAAUGUUAAUUGAAAGUACUGGAGAAAGGAAACAUAUCAAUAAGAUUAUUAUCCUAAGUAUGUGGAUAAUCUCCUUCAUAAGUAUCAGAGUACUAGUUGAGAAUGUAACUAACUAUUACCUUGUAUUUGUGCCCAAACCAUGGCACUGCCCAGUUUAAGUUUUCAUGGUUUUUAGAAGGAGAAAAAUUAGCUUUAGUUUCUGAAGUUGAACGGAGGUUAGUGUUAUCAAACAAAGCUCUAGAGCUGAUGGGUGCGUCCCAGUAAUUUGAUACGGAUCCAUCUUGCACAUUGAUUCAAUUGGUUGCUCUUAGGAGCAUGUUGUAAUAAUGGUCUCUUUAUGAGUGAUUUUCUCAUCGUAAUAUCUUGAAUUAAGUCCUAUGGAGAAUUUGGACAAGACAGUUGGAAAAAUUGUGAUCUCUCGAUAGUGGAUUCAUUGUUUUUUGGCCAUUGAUGUAAUCAACCACAUAAAUGGCAAGUACAUUGUCUUCUUGUUCUUCCUAUAAUUUAACUUUUCUGUCUCAGGUAUUGAAUGGUUUGUUGCAGAACCACUUCUGAAAAAUACUCUGUAUUUCAGUUCCUUGCUAUCUGGAAACUUAUCAGAAUUUGAGCUAAUGUUGUAGUCAAUUAGGUAAUAGAUUUACUGCACUUCCGAUUUAUUUUCUUUAUUUAGGUUUUUGGCACUAGAAAGUUAUUUUGGUUCUUCCCACUAUUUGCAAAGGAAGAUUUGGAGAAAAUACCUGUACUAAAUGGCCUAGAUUUUCCCACGCGCUCAUAUAUUGAAGCAUGAGGAACAUUGAUCACCUUCCGAAGUAUGUCUGUUAUUUUUCUUUAGUAGUCAUUAAUUUUCACAAGGUGGGUUUUCUAAUUCGUUCUAUAAAAUUUAAAAUUUAUAAGUUCUUGUUUUUUGGUAAUUUGUCCUUGUAGCAUCUAUAAAGUUGAAUCAUUUACAAAAAACACAUUUUUGCACAAGCAUAUAUAUCUUAUUGUGAACUGAGAAAUAUUGGACAUGUAUCAUGUGCCCCAUAAUCUCAUAAAAUCUACUGUCUAUCUGUGUAGUUUCCAACUUUUGGACCUGCAUGUUCUCUUUUUCGUGAAAUAGAACUCUCAGUUCUUCUGGCUCAGUUAAUGGCAUGUUGAUCUGGCUAUAAUUGAUCCUAUAAAUUCAAUAGAAAUGCUAUUUUUUUACUUUUGUUGUUGUUCAUGAAUACUAACAUGAUUGACACAAGUUUCCCUUUAUCUUAAAGUUAGCUUUCAAAUCAUUUAUACUACUAUAUAUGGUGCAGAUUUUGAAAUUUGAUGAAUUUGAUCUUUUCUCCAUGAGCCCACUCCUCCCUGAGCUGUCUGCAUCUCAUGGUAGCAGCCUUAUUUCAUCUCUUUGCACAAAACAGAAGGCGUAUCAAAUGAAUGAUUCAUUGAUUGAAGGCCCCCAUUUAUGAAUUAUAUUAUAGUCCGAGAAAUGCUACAUCUACGCCCAGGUUUACCACCUGGGUGAUAGAAUGUAGAGGUGGCAACAUUUCAUAGGCUGGUGGACAAAAAAAAAAAAAAUGUUCCACCGGCCUAUGAAAUCUUGCCACUUGUGCAUUCUAUCAAACCCACCUGGGUGUACCAAGUAUCAUUUUUCUUAUAGUUCUAUUUGAGUAGAUUACAAACACUAAAAUGCAUGCUUACUGGGGAAGGUGACAUUUUGGCCUUGCAUAUCUCCUCCCUAACAUCAUUGCUUUCCUCUUUUCAAUAUUAUAGACCUGCUAGUCACUCAUUAGAAAUCAUGCUUAAAGGUAUUCAAAUUGACAUAUAAUACUCAUAUGCUUGGUAUCAAUUACAUGUAUUUUGUCCCACAAGAAAGCAGAAAGUUUUUUGGUGAUACACAGGCACAGACUUUUUGUACCACGCUCCCAGCAAGGAGCCUGCUGGAAAUCAUACGAACAAACAGCUUUUUCUUAAUGGCAGCUGAGUCGGUUGAUCAUCUAUCGGGUCGUGAAAUGUCUUUUUCUAGCGAACUAUGUGGGGAGUUGUGACAGGAGUUGCAGAUAUCUGAUAUAAAGACUGAUAACCAAACAGUGAGUGGUGUAGCAAAAAGAAUGAGACCUACAGGCACCAUCCACUGCUGUUCAUUUGUAGGAUGAUAAUAAAACUCCCACCAAGCCAAUAUUAGCCCACCCACCAUGCUUACUGAAAAUGAUCCCAAGCAAACUAUCCAUAUCUUUACAAUCCUCAGAAAUCUUCUGUAUCUCUCAUCUUCCGUGUCUUCAUAUGAUGCCAUCAAGUGUCUGAUGUCGAAAUCCUUUACGUGUUUUCUUCGCGUGGAAAAGUUUUGAUAGAACAACGAGAGAUUAGACGACUGAAACCUACUGAAACAGAAAUGGUAAGAGGCUUUAUAUAUAGAUGCCUUGAAUUAGGCAGGCUAUUCCCAUUGAACCUCCAUCAGACGUGCCUUUUGACUAAAGUUGUUCCCUGUAGAAACCAUCAUCAUGUAGAGAGGAAGAACAUCAUUGCGUCUCGGUUUUUCUAUACAAGAAGUGAUUGAUAGAGGUUUGUGCUGGGGUAGAUUCAUUUCGUUUAAUAAGCCUAUCAAAAUUUCAUUUGACAAGUGGCUUCUUUGAUACGUAAGAAAUUGAUGGGGGAAUUAUUAUUUGGAGGAGGUAUAUAUCAUAGACAAAGUGAAUUCAAUGCAUAUCUAAACAAGCAAUGUGAAAGUUACAUGUUUCCAAGUUAUUUUAGGAAUUUAUGUAGAAUACUGGGGUCUUUGGGGGGCCUACAACUUGAAUAUAUA
Molecule: long non-coding RNA, 3322 nt
Filed under: Olea europaea subsp. europaea
Lineage: Eukaryota; Viridiplantae; Streptophyta; Magnoliopsida; Lamiales; Oleaceae
Source: RNAcentral